Long non-coding RNA from Ahaetulla prasina, 251 nucleotides. RefSeq lists it as uncharacterized. The record is from RefSeq and is a predicted model, not a curated record. The transcript has 3 exons. NCBI's taxonomy places the organism in Eukaryota, Metazoa, Chordata, Lepidosauria, Squamata, Colubridae.
UUUGCAAACAGCCACAAAGAUAAAUUAACAUCCAUACAGUUUAACUCUAUCUCUAAAGAGAGAGGAAUGAAGCCUCAGAAAUGCUGAAAUACAAGACUGUGCAGGGUUGUACCACACACACACAGGAAAAAACAACUUUGUUUUGGUUCCUUGAGCUCUAAGUUAGAUACUAAAAAGGAAAAUUAUUAAAUGAAGGUGCAAACAAGUUUCUAUAAGGCACAAGAAGACUUGCUAUCCUUGACUGAACAUUA